ACGAACGCUGGCGGCGUGCCUAAUACAUGCAAGUUGAGCGCUGAAGGUUGGUACUUGUACCAACUGGAUGAGCAGCGAACGGGUGAGUAACGCGUGGGGAAUCUGCCUUUGAGCAGGGGACAACAUUUGGAAACGAAUGCUAAUACCGCAUAAAAACUUUAAACCCAAGUUUUAAGUUUGAAAGAUGCAAUUGCAUCACUCAAAGAUGAUCCCGCGUUGUAUUAGCUAGUUGGUGAGGUAAAGGCUCACCAAGGCGAUGAUACAUAGCCGACCGGAGAGGGUGAUCGGCCACAUUGGGACUGAGACACGGCCCAAACUCCUACGGGAGGCAGCAGUAGGGAAUCUUCGGCAAUGGACGAAAGUCUGACCGAGCAACGCCGCGUGAGUGAAGAAGGUUUUCGGAUCGUAAAACUCUGUUGGUAGAGAAGAACGUUGGUGAGAGUGGAAAGCUCACCAAGUGACGGUAACUACCCAGAAAGGGACGGCUAACUACGUG
This 496-nucleotide ribosomal RNA is filed under the name uncultured bacterium. RNAcentral's name for it is "partial 16S ribosomal RNA". It matches the Rfam family "Bacterial small subunit ribosomal RNA", at positions 29 to 507 of the family's 1533-position model. The record is from RNAcentral.